ACGCUCGACACCUACGGGAGGCAGCAGUGAGGAAUAUUGGUCAAUGGACGCAAGUCUGAACCAGCCAUGCCGCGUGCAGGAUGACGGGCUCUAUGAGUUGUAAACUGCUUUUGUACGAGGGUAAACGCAGAUACGUGUAUCUGUCUGAAAGUAUCGUACGAAUAAGGAUCGGCUAACUCCGUGCCCGCAGCCGCGGUAAUCUGAGCGGGCUGGCAAGGC
RNAcentral lists this ribosomal RNA (219 nucleotides) under uncultured bacterium. RNAcentral describes it as "partial 16S ribosomal RNA". It matches the Rfam family "Bacterial small subunit ribosomal RNA", at positions 328 to 539 of the family's 1533-position model. The record is from RNAcentral.